Molecule: long non-coding RNA, 3557 nt
Filed under: Canis lupus familiaris (dog)
Lineage: Eukaryota; Metazoa; Chordata; Mammalia; Carnivora; Canidae
Description: lncRNA (ENSCAFG00030021765.1)
Source: RNAcentral
UGCUGCAAAGCUCUGGGCUGUCCCCAUGGUUGGCAUAUGCUCCUGUCCUGGGAGCAUCGCUUCUUAUCUGUCCAUGUGUCACCCACUCCCUCAGUCUGCUUUCUGGUCGGGGUGCUGAUGGAGCAAGGUUCAGCGACACUUCCAGCACACACGCCUUUAUUGCCGGGCAGGCUUCCAGAGCGCAAUGAGCAAACAGCAGGCCCUCUCUAAGCUUGUCUCCUCAACUCUGAAAGUAAAGAGGUGGCCUCCACUGCCUCCAUAUGGCCACCAGCCACAGAUGUCAUUUUUAAAUUUGAAAACAGAAUGCCAAGUAGCAAGCACUUUCACACAUGCAAAGCCUACACUUCCUAAGUCCCAUGACUCGUCACUAUGCUAGCCACACCAUCUGGCCAUUGCACUCGAAUUGUACGAUAACUGAGAGAUGUGCAGGCCUGAUGAGAUCGCCAGCAGCCACUGUGGUUUUCAGGACAUUGAUGAGCCCAUCUAUAGAGUGCCCCCAGGGUGCUGAGGGCUCCUACGGGAGCUCUGGUUAAGUAGCCCAUCCCCGGUUGUUCAGGUGAGUUACAAAGUCACUAAGGAGGGGGUCUGCCCUUUGAGCUCUGUCUGGCCGUUUCUAUCUGAAAUGCAUGCUUCUUCACCCCAGCAGGCCUCCACGAGACUCUGAGGGCUUCUGGAAUUUUGAGCGACAUUGCCCCACGACUUCCCUGGCUACUAUCACUUCACCUCCUCAGACGGGCUUUCAGAGCUGCCCUGGAUCACAGCCAGGAAAGCAAGAAUUACAUUUUACCUUUCCCAGGGGAGAGUCUAAGGAACAGCCAGGUUCCUUGCCUGAAGCCCACAGUAAGGUGGGCCUGGACUGCCUCUUCUGGCCAGAGGCUCUCACCUCCAGAGUGAGAGAAGGCUCAGGGCUCUUCCCUACGGCCCGGCAGGUCCCAGGAAAUAGUCAAGUGAUUAAAAUGACUUGAACAAAGUGAAUGUCAUGAGCUGAGGAAGAAGAAGGAAAACAGAAGCCAAAAACGGACAAAGGAAGAGGUUUGGAGAUGAGUGUUUGGUAUGCGGUCGAUUGUGUGCGUGUUCCUCUUUUUUCAUUCUGUUUCUCCCCUUUCUAUCACCCUCAUCUGAAAUACAUAGCAAAGAAAAAAUGUAAGCUUCAAGAGGAAAACCAUUUCCAAACAGUGAGGUUUAGCAAACACUGGCCUCAUAUCCGUAUUCCCCUUCUAAAAAAAUCUACACUUGGUUCCUCAUGCUCGCCUCAACGCCAGACCAAAGGUCAACUCUUGUUUUGGCCAUUGUGCAUAAGCACCACGUCCCCAAAUGAUUAGAAACUCCUGUUGACAGAUGAGAUAGGAGAUCUGUGGUCAGUGGCACUGCUCUGCAAACGCUGGCCACUCCUGCCCCCAGGUUCAGGAAAGGACGGUCCUUCUUGGGGCCCUGGUAGGUGGCUCCAUGGGGCUGGCUCUGGGCAGUUACUCAGGAUGGAAAUGGCACCUGCCACUUUUGGACUAGAACAUUUAAGUGCCAGAGCAUUUAAUCAUCCUCAGAACUCGCCUCUCUGCUGUGGUGACCAGCAGUGUUCCAGGCCAGAGAAAUCAAUUUUUCCUGUUCACUAAGAGUGAAUUGCUAUAGCACAGCCAAGCUUAUCUUGAUUGAUGCAAGAUUUGUUCAUUUUUGAGCUGCCUAAUAGCAAAAAUAUAAUAGGUGGAUGGACAGAUGGAGCUGGUAGAUAUGGUUCUUUGUCUAUAAAUCUCAACCACGAAUUUGCAAUUCCUCCAGAAUACAAAAUCCUACAAGGCAGGAACUGCAAAUGUUGUUAAAAUGAGAGACCCAUUAGAAACCAAAAAAAAAAAAAAAAAAAAAUGAAACUGAUGUUGACUUCUGGUUUAACAUACGUGGAGCACUCUAUACAAGACUUGCCCAUACACCUCAGAGAGAAAGUUCUUUAGCCUGGUGGCAAAUCUGUACAGGACAAGGUGUCAAGUUAUCCAGUUCCAACCAAGUGUCAUCAAUAACUAUUGUUGAUUUUACAGUUUCAACAAAAACACAAAGCAAAUGUGCUUUCAUCUUCAAACAAAGCAAUGCAUAAUAGUUGAAAGAGUAUUCGGUUAGGGUUAGAGAGAAGUCGGGGUAAUUCCUGUUUCCAUUAAAUUCUGGCUCUAGGAUCUUGGAAAAAAUCACAUAACUUCUCUACACCUCAUUUUUCUCAACUCUGGGUUGGAAAUACCACUUGACCUGUCUCCACCACAAGGCUGGUGAGUUUGAGGUUGCUUUAAAUGACUUGGUUUAAGCCCCUCGGCACACUGCAAUGUGUUUCAAGUACUCUGCUGUUUGUGCCUUGUGCCAAGAGGUGCUUCCUAACUAACUGCUACCAUUGGUAUUGUUGUUGUUCUACCGUCAGUACCCUUGCAAACAGCACCCUGUUAACUAUGCCAAGCUCAUGCCCAGAACAUACAUAAUGCGCCCCUUGUUAAUCAAGCUCCGACAGUGUCCUGAAGCCAGGAGGACAUUCAACAGGUGGUCUGUGGUCUCCGACAGAGGUGCCUUGAGACUUUCUGGUUGUUGAGAUCCACUCGUCCAUGAUACCAUGAGAAAGGGAGUUCUCUGCUGCGUGGAGAGGUUUUCCUAGCUACUGGACUCCUGAAAAGGGCCAAACCUGGCCAAAAAAGGUAUGGACAAAAUGUGUCUCGGUGACGCUCUGCUAGCCCUCACACACCCACUCUGUCUUGUGUCCCUAAGUCCGUCCUCCUCAGGGCAUCCCAAACCAGAAAUGCAUUUAAUGUGUGACCAACAGGGACAUUUCUGUUCUAGACUCAAUGCCUGAGAUGUAUUUGAGGGCAAGUGCUUUCUUUUUUUAUCGGCUACUAGGAAAUGUUGACUGAACAACUGAAACAACCAAAGGCUACAAAAUCUGCUCCAUCAUUUCAAGACUUGACAAACCUGCAUGUGGAAAUAUCGCAGAAGGGAGGCCAAGGCUCAGUACAUAAUCCAGCACAUUCAGGUGUAGGUACUGUUUUACCUACCUGAAUUGUAUAUGAUUUUAUUAUCGGUACAGCGUGAUAUUUUGACAUCUUAAAAAAAAACCUUUCUAGCUGUGGAGAGACUACCCUCUCCCUCUCAGGAGCUAGCCAAUUCUUAGAGAUUGCAAAGGGGCCGGCAAGCAUAGCUUUGAUAUGCAAACGAAGCAAUCCAGGCCCUACCUCCUCUUGCUGGACCUACCCAGUCCAGGAGGCAAAAUUCCUGUUUUUAUCAUCCCAGAACCAACUGGAGACUGCCCCAUAUUGGAGCCACAGAUAUUCAAACUUGCCAAUCCUGUCCUGCUCAUCGGGUCCUGUCUUGCCUUUCCCACAGGAAACCCUGGCCAAAACCCUCCCCUCACUCCUGUCUUCUGCUCACUUCCCACUUCCCAAAACCCAGUGCUCUCCCACUGUGAUCAUGCAGGGCAUGUGAUGACCUCUCUCUAUGACCUGUGAAUAUAAUAAACUUUGGAUGUUUUUGGUGUGUAUGUCUCUCCUGUGCCUCCUUCCUGUGGCCACACCUAACAUAUCAUAGAAAAGGAGACA